Molecule: ribosomal RNA, 497 nt
Filed under: uncultured bacterium
Lineage: Bacteria
Description: partial 16S ribosomal RNA
Rfam family: Bacterial small subunit ribosomal RNA
Source: RNAcentral
GACGAACGCUGGCGGCGUGCCUAAUACAUGCAAGUAGAACGCUGAAGAGAGGAGCUUGCUCUUCUUGGAUGAGUUGCGAACGGGUGAGUAACGCGUAGGUAACCUGCCUUGUAGCGGGGGAUAACUAUUGGAAACGAUAGCUAAUACCGCAUAACAAUGGAUGACACAUGUCAUUUAUUUGAAAGGGGCAAUUGCUCCACUACAAGAUGGACCUGCGUUGUAUUAGCUAGUAGGUGAGGUAAUGGCUCACCCAGGCGACGAUACAUAGCCGACCUGAGAGGGUGAUCGGCCACACUGGGACUGAGACACGGCCCAGACUCCUACGGGAGGCAGCAGUAGGGAAUCUUCGGCAAUGGGGGCAACCCUGACCGAGCAACGCCGCGUGAGUGAAGAAGGGUUUCGGAUCGUAAAGCUCUGUUGUAAGUCAAGAACGGGUGUGAGAGUGGAAAGUUCACACUGUGACGGUAGCUUACCAGAAAGGGACGGCUAACUACGUG